CGGAGGAUCCAAGCGUUAUCCGGAAUCAUUGGGUUUAAAGGGUCCGUAGGCGGCCCUGUAAGUCAGUGGUGAAAUCUCCCGCUCAACGGGAACGGCCAUUGAUACUGCAGGGCUUGAAUUACUGGGAAGCAACUAGAAUAUGUAGUGUAGCGGUGAAAUGCUUAGAUAUUACAUGGAAUACCAAUUGCGAAGGCAGGUUGCUACCAGUGGAUUGACGCUGAUGGACGAAAGCGUGGUAGCGAACAGGAUU
Molecule: ribosomal RNA, 250 nt
Filed under: uncultured bacterium
Lineage: Bacteria
Description: partial 16S ribosomal RNA
Rfam family: Bacterial small subunit ribosomal RNA
Source: RNAcentral